RNAcentral lists this unclassified non-coding RNA (274 nucleotides) under Hevea brasiliensis (rubber tree). Lineage: Eukaryota; Viridiplantae; Streptophyta; Magnoliopsida; Malpighiales; Euphorbiaceae. The record is from RNAcentral.
CCACUCCAUCUUCCUACAGGCGGAUCGCUAGUCUCGUAUCUUCUACAGCUCAAUCCACAACAGAUGUCCCUAAUGGUGAUGGGACAUCUCACAACUAAAUUUCCUUGUAAUACUUUUUACCUAGUAGUUUAGUGAAUAUAAAUAGCUAGUAAGUUCUUUGCACUUAAGCCUUUCUGGAAUGAUAAUAACAUCGUCUUAAUUGCAUCCAAUUGCGUUUCAUUAUUACUAAAUUUUUUUUUGACAAUACAUGACUUGAGUAAAACCACACCGUCUA